GAUGAACGCUGGCGGCGUGCCUAAUACAUGCAAGUCGAGCGAACAGAUGAGGAGCUUGCUCCUCUGACGUUAGCGGCGGACGGGUGAGUAACACGUGGAUAACCUACCUAUAAGACUGGGAUAACUUCGGGAAACCGGAGCUAAUACCGGAUAAUAUAUUGAACCGCAUGGUUCAAUAGUGAAAGACGGUUUUGCUGUCACUUAUAGAUGGAUCCGCGCCGCAUUAGCUAGUUGGUAAGGUAACGGCUUACCAAGGCGACGAUGCGUAGCCGACCUGAGAGGGUGAUCGGCGACACUGGAACUGAGACACGGUCCAGACUCCUACGGGAGGCAGCAGUAGGGAAUCUUCCGCAAUGGGCGAAAGCCUGACGGAGCAACGCCGCGUGAGUGAUGAAGGUCUUCGGAUCGUAAAACUCUGUUAUUAGGGAAGAACAAAUGUGUAAGUAACUAUGCACGUCUUGACGGUACCUAAUCAGAAAGCCACGGCUAACUACGUG
This 497-nucleotide ribosomal RNA is filed under the name uncultured bacterium. Its description in RNAcentral is "partial 16S ribosomal RNA". It matches the Rfam family "Bacterial small subunit ribosomal RNA", at positions 28 to 507 of the family's 1533-position model. The record is from RNAcentral.